AGACUGCAGGCUGCAACUCGCCUGCACGAAGUCGGAAUUGCUAGUAAUCGUAGGUCAGCAUACUACGGUGAAUACGUUCCCGGGCCUUGUACACACCGCCCGUCAAACCAUGAGAGUUGGCAACACCCGAAGUCGGUAGUCCAACCGCAAGGAGGACGCCGCCGAAGGUGGGGUUGAUGAUUAGGGUUAAGUCGUAACAAGGUAGC
This 206-nucleotide ribosomal RNA is filed under the name uncultured bacterium. Its description in RNAcentral is "partial 16S ribosomal RNA". It matches the Rfam family "Bacterial small subunit ribosomal RNA", at positions 1295 to 1500 of the family's 1533-position model. The record is from RNAcentral.